GUAAAAAAGCGGAAUCCUCCCAAACCGAGCUCAAGGUCACAGAGACGCUUGUUCACUUCAGCUUAGCCCACGCCACUCGUGCGCGUUUCGCCUGAUUGAUACUGUGGUACAGUACAAGUGUCCAAACCGAAAGCGAGAACGUCACGGCGGAAUUCAUUUACUGCUAUUGUUGGCCAUGGCCGCCUAUGCUGGGCUGUUGCGCGUCGCCCUCGUCCUCAUCGCCGCCGCCGCGACCUGGGCGGCGGCGCUAGACGACCCGGCGGGGCUUCUGCGACGGGCCAAGGAGGCGGAGUUCAUGGACUGGAUGGUGGGGGUGCGCCGGCGGAUCCACGAGAACCCUGAGCUCGGCUACGAGGAGUUUGACACCAGUGAGCUCGUGCGGCGCGAGCUCGAUGCCAUGGGGAUCCCCUACAGGCAUCCCUUCGCGGUCACCGGCGUCGUCGCCACCGUCGGCACAGGCGGCCCGCCCUUCGUCGCGCUUCGGGCCGACAUGGACGCGCUCCCUAUGCAGGAAAGCGUGGAAUGGGAACAUAAGAGCAAAGUGCCUGGGAAGAUGCAUGGAUGUGGCCAUGAUGCACAUGUUGCUAUGCUAUUGGGUUCUGCUAAGAUUCUUCAGGAGCACCGUGACGAGUUGAAGGGUACUGUAGCCCUUCUUUUCCAACCAGCUGAGGAAGGUGGUGGUGGAGCCAAGAAAAUGGUAGAAGCCGGAGCUGUGGAAAACAUAGAGGUCAUGUUUGGACUUCAUGUAGCUGACAGUGUGCCGAUUGGUGUGCUGGCAUCCAGACCUGGGCCUAUAAUGGCAGGGAGUGGAUUCUUUGAGGCAGUAAUAAGUGGAAAGGGAGGGCAUGCUGCACUUCCUCAUCACACUAUUGAUCCAAUACUGGCUGCAUCCAAUGUUAUUGUAAGCCUUCAGCAACUUGUUUCCCGAGAAGCUGACCCCUUGGACUCACAGGUAGUAACGGUUGGAAAGUUUCAAGGUGGUGGAGCCUUCAAUGUUAUCCCUGAUUCAGUGACAAUAGGUGGUACCUUCCGAGCCUUUAUGAAGGAGAGUUUUAAUCAAUUGAAGCAGCGAAUUGAAGAGGUCAUAGUCACACAGGCAUCUGUCCAGCGCUGCAGCGCAGUUGUGGACUUCCUUGACAAAGAUAAGCCUUUCUUCCCUCCAACAAUCAACAAUCCUGAGCUUCACGAUUUCUUUGCGAAGGUGUGCAGUGAGAUGGUUGGCCCCAACAACGUGAGAGAGAAGCAGCCACUGAUGGGUGCCGAGGACUUCUCCUUCUACACCGAGGCCGUUCCCAAGACAUACUACUACUUUGUGGGGAUGCUCAACGAGACUCGUGGACCGCAGGCGCCUCAUCACUCCCCCUACUUCACCAUCAACGAGGAUGCACUGCCCUACGGUGCAGCCAUGCAAGCAUCGUUGGCUGCUCGCUAUCUGCUUGAGCACCAGCCCGCUACCGCUGCUAAGGUGGAACCUCGCGACGAGCUGUAGAUGGUGUCCAUGUUGAAUGAAACGGUGGAAGGACAAGGACGUGCACAGCAAUUGUUGGUUAAAAAGGGACGAGGACCUCUGUAUCGCCAGGUGAUUAUGCAACUGUUUGUACAUAAUUUCCUGAUUUCAGCGCAUUCCAAGCGAGCAGAUGACCUUGUGACGGCAUUGAAGCACUGCGAACAUGUGUUUCUGUGGUAGGUCUCGUUCGUUUUCGCAUCUGCACUUAUCCGGGUCUAUGUGUAAUCUUUGAGUGCAGUGGUGAGACAAAAUAAAACACCCCGUGGAUGAUGAAUGUAUUGGGUUGUUAAGAGUUGGGACAGACAGGAAUUUUAUAGCAUGAUUCCAUCCUUUAGUAGCAAGAAAUGGUCGAAAAUAUAUUCCCCAGCAAAAAGAAAAAAGAAACGGUUGAAACAAGGGUUUGAGGAGCAUAUAAGUCUGGUUAUUACUAGCGUUCUGGCUUGACAGUUGGACACCUGUGGCUGUGGCUUGAAAGCAUCGGCCCGCUGUGGUCGUUGGAGAAGGAUCAGAGGCAGGCUGUGCGUGAGCCCCGAGCCUCGAUCGCUUAACAAGCGUCGUGAAUCUAGUUUUUCAUUUCUGUUUCCUCUGCGUGCAUAGUGUGGCUGCAUAUUGACUAGGAUUGUUUAGGGUAAGAACCAAAGACAGUAGGUAAACGUUGUUGCAUGCCAAGCUUUUCUGUUUCACGACAUUCAUUAUUGAGUUGCGAGCGAAGGCCGAAUCCCAACUGCUGCCCAUGUGAAAGAAACAGGGACCGCCACUCAAAGUCACACGUACAGCGUGUGACUGCUCGUGAAGUUGGUCCUGUCUUUUUGUUGCCUUGGCAGAAAAAAGCUAACUUGUUGGACGAGGACCUUUGUAUCGCCAGGUGAUUAUGCAACUGUUUGUACAUAAUUUCCUGAUUUCAGCGCAUUCCAAGCGAGCAGAUGACCUUGUGACGGCAUUGAAGCACUGCGAACAUGUGUUUAUGUGGUAGGUCUCGUUCGUUUUCGCAUCUGCACUUAUCCGGGUCUAUGUGUAAUCUUUGAGUGCAGUGGUGAGACAAAAUAAAACACCCCGUGGAUGAUGAAUGUAUUGGGUUGUUAAGAGUUGGGACAGACAGGAAUUUUAUAGCAUGAUUCCAUCCUUUAGUAGCAA
Molecule: non-coding RNA, 2641 nt
Organism: Aegilops tauschii subsp. strangulata
Lineage: Eukaryota; Viridiplantae; Streptophyta; Magnoliopsida; Poales; Poaceae
Source: RefSeq, a predicted model, not a curated record